ACGGGUGAGUAACACGUAUCCAACCUGCCGUCUACUCUUGGACAGCCUUCUGAAAGGAAGAUUAAUACAAGAUGGCAUCAUGAGUCCGCAUGUUCACAUGAUUAAAGGUAUUCCGGUGGACGAUGGGGAUGCGUUCCAUUAGAUAGUAGGCGGGGUAACGGCCCACCUAGUCUUCGAUGGAUAGGGGUUCUGAGAGGAAGGUCCCCCACAUUGGAACUGAGACACGGUCCAA
RNAcentral lists this ribosomal RNA (232 nucleotides) under uncultured bacterium. Its description in RNAcentral is "partial 16S ribosomal RNA". It matches the Rfam family "Bacterial small subunit ribosomal RNA", at positions 102 to 334 of the family's 1533-position model. The record is from RNAcentral.